RNAcentral lists this ribosomal RNA (1028 nucleotides) under Hepatozoon sp. F3. RNAcentral describes it as "bacterial SSU rRNA". It matches the Rfam family "Eukaryotic small subunit ribosomal RNA", at positions 41 to 1038 of the family's 1831-position model. Lineage: Eukaryota; Apicomplexa; Hepatozoidae. The record is from RNAcentral.
AGAUUAAGCCAUGCAUGUCUAAGUACAUACAAUAAUACAGUUAAACUGCAAAUGGCUCAUUAAAACAGUUAUAGUUUAUUUGAUAAUAAAAUAUAUUACAUGGAUAACCGUGGUAAUUCUAGAGCUAAUACAUGAGCAAAAUCUCAACUGUUUUAGAAGAGAUGCAUUUAUUAGAUAAAAAACCAGUACAUAUUUUUACAGUAUGAAAGUUGGUGAUUUACAAUAACUUAGCAAAUCGCAAAGUGUAAACAGGCGAUAAAUCAUUCAAGUUUCUGACCUAUCAGCUUUCGACGGUAUGGUAUUGGCUUACCGUGGCAGUGACGGUUAACGGGGGAUUAGGGUUCGAUUCCGGAGAGGGAGCCUGAGAAACGGCUACCACAUCUAAGGAAGGCAGCAGGCGCGCAAAUUACCCAAUUCUAACAGCAUAAGAGAGGUAGUGACAAGAAAUAACAAUACAAGGCAAUUAAAAUGUUUUGUAAUUGGAAUGAUAGAAAUUUAAACACUUUUUAAAGUAUCAAUUGGAGGGCAAGUCUGGUGCCAGCAGCCGCGGUAAUUCCAGCUCCAAUAGCGUAUAUUAAAAUUGUUGCAGUUAAAAAGCUCGUAGUUGAAUUUCUGUUAAAAAUAACCGGUCUGCUUUUUUUAUUAAAAGUGGUAUCAUCUUGGUGUGUUUUUAACAAUAAUAAUGUCCUUUGAAAAUGUUUUUUACUUUAUUGUAAUAUAAGUCAUUGUUUUGAGGAUUUUUACUUUGAGAAAAUUAGAGUGUUUCUAGCAGGCUUUUACGCUUUUGAAUACUGCAGCAUGGAAUAAUAAGAUAGGAUUUUAGUUCUACAUUAUUGGUUUUAAGAACUAAAUUAAUGAUUGAUAGGGAUAGUUGGGGGCAUUUGUAUUUAACUGUUAGAGGUGAAAUUCUUAGAUUUGAUAAAGACAAACUACUGCGAAAGCAUUUGCCAAAGAUGUUUUCAUUAAUCAAGAACGAAAGUUAGGGGAUCGAAGACGAUCAGAUACCGUCGUAGUCUUAACUAUAAACU